RNAcentral lists this unclassified non-coding RNA (300 nucleotides) under air metagenome. RNAcentral's name for it is "partial contains small subunit ribosomal RNA, internal transcribed spacer 1, and 5.8S ribosomal RNA". The stretch from base 1 to 46 matches the Rfam family "Eukaryotic small subunit ribosomal RNA", at positions 1786 to 1831 of the family's 1831-position model. The record is from RNAcentral.
AAGUCGUAACAAGGUUUCCGUAGGUGAACCUGCGGAAGGAUCAUUAAUGAAUUAUAAAACGGAUGGGGUUGUCGCUGGUCUUUACCGACAUGUGCACACCUUGUUCAAAAUUCAUCCACUACACCUCUUGUGCACCUUUUUCAUAUGGUUUGGUUCGUUAUUAUGGCUGUCUUCACGGGCAGUCAGAGAGCCUCUCUAUGUGUUACUAUAUCACAAACUUUAUAAAUCAGUCUAUGAAUGUCAUACUAUUGCUAUAAACGCAUUAUAAUACAACUUUCAACAACGGAUCUCUUGGCUCUC